Molecule: ribosomal RNA, 301 nt
Filed under: uncultured bacterium
Lineage: Bacteria
Description: partial 16S ribosomal RNA
Rfam family: Bacterial small subunit ribosomal RNA
Source: RNAcentral
CAGCAGCCGCGGUAAAACGUAGGUGGCAAGCGUUGUCCGGAAUUAUUGGGCGUAAAGGGCUCGCAGGCGGUUUCUUAAGUCUGAUGUGAAAGCCCCCGGCUCAACCGGGGAGGGUCAUUGGAAACUGGGAAACUUGAGUGCAGAAGAGGAGAGUGGAACUCCACGUGUAGCGGUGAAAUGCGUAGAGAUGUGGAGGAACACCAGUGGCGAAGGCGACUCUCUGGUCUGUAACUGACGCUGAGGAGCGAAAGCGUGGGGAGCGAACAGGAUUAGAUACCCGAGUAGUCCCUGUCUCUUAUAA